GUGGGGAAUAUUGCGCAAUGGAGGCAACUCUGACGCAGCCAUGCCGCGUGCAGGAAGAAGGCGCUACGCGUUGUAAACUGCUUUUAACCGGGAAGAAACCCCAGGACGUGUCCUGGGUUGACGGUACCGGAGGAAUAAGCACCGGCUAACUUCGUGCCAGCAGCCGCGGUAAUACGAAGGGUGCAAGCGUUAUCCGGAUUCAUUGGGUUUAAAGGGUGCGUAGGCGGAGCGUUAAGUCAGUGGUGAAAUCCUGCAGCUUAACUGUAGACUUGCCAUUGAUACUGGCGCUCUUGAGUGCGCUUGAAGUGGGCGGAAUGUGCCGUGUAGCGGUGAAAUGCUUAGAUAUGGCACAGAACACCAAUUGCGAAGGCAGCUCACUAAGGCGAUACUGACGCUGAGGCACGAAAGCGUGGGGAUCGAACAGGAUUAGAUACCCGGGUAGUCC
This 445-nucleotide ribosomal RNA is filed under the name uncultured bacterium. RNAcentral describes it as "partial 16S ribosomal RNA". It matches the Rfam family "Bacterial small subunit ribosomal RNA", at positions 354 to 796 of the family's 1533-position model. The record is from RNAcentral.